GCUAGCGUAGCUUAAACCUAAAGCACGGCACUGAAAAUGCCAAGACAGACGAUAAUAAAUCUCGCGGGCA
This 70-nucleotide transfer RNA is filed under the name Gyrinophilus palleucus (Tennessee cave salamander). RNAcentral describes it as "tRNA-Phe". It matches the Rfam family "tRNA". Rfam says of the family: Transfer RNA (tRNA) molecules are approximately 80 nucleotides in length. Their secondary structure includes four short double-helical elements and three loops (D, anti-codon, and T loops). Lineage: Eukaryota; Metazoa; Chordata; Amphibia; Caudata; Plethodontidae. The record is from RNAcentral.